UGGACAUAUUAUUGUAUUCACAGUGUGAAACAGGGGAUUACACUGUUUUUAAACGGAAAGUGUAUCAAUUAACAUAAUAGACUCCU
RNAcentral lists this microRNA precursor (86 nucleotides) under Nicotiana sylvestris (wood tobacco). RNAcentral's name for it is "MIR6152 microRNA precursor family". It matches the Rfam family "MIR6152 microRNA precursor family". The record is from Rfam by way of RNAcentral. Lineage: Eukaryota; Viridiplantae; Streptophyta; Magnoliopsida; Solanales; Solanaceae. RNAcentral also lists the same sequence under 1 other name.